GAAAUGCGAUAUGUAAUGCGAAUUGCAGAAUUCAGUGAAUCAUCAAAUCUUUGAACGCAAAUGGCGCUCUCGGGAUAGACCUGGGAGCACGCCCCUCUGAGUAUCGGUUCAACAACAACUCACCCAGCGUGUUUAGCAAUAAGCAUCAACUGUGUGGAGAAUGAGAGUCUGAACUGCCACAAGGUUUAGUCUCUUGAAAUCUGUUGAGCUUUGGAUCUCCUAGUUCGUGUCUCUCUUCGGAGGGAAUAGUCUUACUUGACUUUAAUGUUUCUCAACUAGUGACGUGGAUAAUAUCACUUUUCUGUGAUUGAAACGUCUUGCUAUUGGGGAACAUUUCCUAUGGUCAGUAGGGUGAACAAUCUAGUGGUCUGAAAGCGCCAAUUGAACCUUGAUCGUUAGCGCGAUCAAUUAUUUCUGAAAUUAGAUCUCAGAUGGAGCGAGAGGACCCCCUGAAUUUAAGU
This 461-nucleotide unclassified non-coding RNA is filed under the name plant metagenome. RNAcentral describes it as "partial contains 5.8S ribosomal RNA and internal transcribed spacer 2". The stretch from base 1 to 106 matches the Rfam family "5.8S ribosomal RNA", at positions 50 to 154 of the family's 154-position model. The record is from RNAcentral.